AAACUAGAUAAUAAUACUUGGUAAGUUUUUUUUUUGUUUGUUUUUGCAGUGUUGAAGAUCGAUCGAUUUAUUAACCAAGUAGUUAAUAAAGAAGACAAUCAAUUCCUUAAAUUUGGAUCCCUAUAAAUCGAGACCAGAUCUCAGCUGUUGUGAACACGUGACUCCUGAGGGAUCACUCUGUUAAAGUUCUGUAAAUUUUGCUUCCUGCGUUGAACUGGGAGGCUUACAAAUGGCUGUCUGGGCUCUGUGUAACCUGGCUGGUGCAUAUUUGGUUGUGGCUGUGUGAAAAACAUGAGGACAGAGCUGUUAUUGACAAUUAUCUAUUAUAAAGCUAACCCCUGAGGAAGACACUUAUCCUGAGCAUGACUGCGAUGUAAAACUGUUGGUGUUUUUUUUUUAUUUGCUUGUUUUCACAGCAAACAGCAGAGGGCGUCGGUGAGCUCAGAGGACACUGAGUCGGGGAGGAGCAGCCCAGAGCCCCAGUCUCACUCCCCUAAACACCAGCCGAACCGUCGGACAGUUCAGGUGUACUUUGACCUGAAGAACCAGGUACAUCGAGGACUUUGUGGGAAAAAGCUACUGAGAUUAGCUUUUGAUUCUACAUUCUUUUUAAUGUCCCAGUUGGCCCGGAGCUCAUCACUCGGUAGACAUCUGCGAGGGUCUGGAGGAGUGGCCUGGAGAUCAGGACGCCUUCCUCCCAUCUGAGACGGAGGAGAAAAAAAUGGUCAAAAUAACCCAAGGCAAGUACAGAGCUAUGGCUGACUGUCCCCAAAACGGACCAGGCAGCAUCAUCAUCAAACGCGGAGAUGUCAUCCAUCUACAAUGUGAAGACAACAGGGGGCGCUGGCUUGUGAAAAAUCUGAGUCGGCAGCAGGAGGGCUUCAUAGCAGCUGCCAGCCUGCAGCUCAUUAUAGGAAGCAGCAGCCACGAGCGCUCUCCCAGACUGGGAGACCCCGGGAACCUAAAGGUGAGAAAGCUGAGCUCCCCAUAGAGAACACAGGACAGAGGAUGAAUCUCAUGCUGGAUGAUGAGCAGAGCAGACUGAGUCAUCGCUGUCUCAUAGCUGAGGCUGCCAAUAUCUCCUCUCCUCUUAGAGGCUGCUUCCUUCAGCACACUUCAGUUCUUUAAAAGAAGAGGCAGAGUCAAGUGAGCCGAUUUCCUCCCUCGGUUUCUGUUUUCGACCUCCUGAACGGACGUUUUCUGAUGAUGAGGAUCACUGCAGCGAUCACCUCAAAGCCACAGGAGAAGUUAAAGCCCUACUGGACAAUCAACGGCUGACCUGGCUCAUGUUCUUCCCUCUUUUUGAGGCGCUUCCUCUGCAGCAUAUGCAGUCAGCAUGUGAGUUUGCCACUGCAGCAGUGUCUCAUUUCACAAACUGUGGACUCAGUGUUUCCCAGCAAAUACUUGAGGUUGGCUCUAAGAGCUUGUCUUUCUGCUUUGUUUCAAAAGGAUGAAAGCCAGGAUUUAAUCCUUAAACUGUUUUACAAAUUGCAUCCUUUUUUAAAAAACUUUUAAUGAAUUUCAUGUUCAUGUCUGUGUAAAACAUUAUUUUUUUCCUCAUGUUGCCACUCUUCUGUACAGUUAAGAGUUUAAAUGCCAAAACGUGCCAUGCCUUAUUGCCUUUUUAUUCCUGCUCUUUUAAAGUCUUUCUAUGUACUUUUUCUUGGUUCUAACUGACCUCACAAGACAUCAUCAGGCACUUUAAAGAGGUGGCUUUGUUAUGUUUCAAGGCCAUUUAUCAUUAUUGCUGCAUUUAGGCUUGUAGCUCAUGACAGAUAUUAUUCUCUCAAAUUGAGAACUAUGAAAGUAAAGCAAAAACAGAUUAAGAAUGCAGUUAAAAGUUGCUGAAGAUGGAUGAUGCUAUGGUUUAAUGCCAAAGGCUGCAGCCACCGCAUGACACAAUGACCACCCAAAGGGAAAGCGGAGAGAGUAAUGUGAGUUCAUAAAGUGAAGAUCUGUUUGCCGAUUUGUAAAGUUAAGAGGAGGAAAUAGAGUGAAAUGUUGUCUGGGAGUUUGUAACUUGGAGACUUAGCAAACCUUAGCAAAAUGUAUCGAAGUAGAAAUGCUUUCAAAUAUUUUAAACUUUUUUUUUGUCAUAAAAGUGUGUUUUAAAUGUACUUAUCCCAUUUGAAAACCAAUGUAAAAGCUCACUGUGAUUUAUUUUUUUUCAUUCUUUCAACAUUUUUAGGUAUUCCAGCCAUAAACUUUUUUGAUCUUUGGCCUUUAACUCCAAAUCCACCUGCUCUCUACUGAAUGUGCUCUUUGCUUGCUGCUUUACCUCUUUCACUGUGUUUCCGUUAUGCUGUGCUUCUU
Molecule: RNA transcript, 2313 nt
Organism: Poecilia latipinna (sailfin molly)
Lineage: Eukaryota; Metazoa; Chordata; Actinopteri; Cyprinodontiformes; Poeciliidae
Gene name: guanine nucleotide exchange factor DBS-like
Exons: 6
Source: RefSeq, a predicted model, not a curated record